GCUUGAGUGGACUCUGAGCCCAUCGCGCUGCUUUUGCCUCGCGCUCUUUGGCCCUCGACUUCACUGCUGGUCACCCAUGUUACGUUUUUUUACAACACAGAAAUUAAAAAAGAAUUGAGAGCUUUCGAUACGAUUCGUGGUGGUCGGCGAUCGAUUCGGUCGUGCCCCGAAUUACCCGGAGGGAACACUUCUCUUUGUUGAUCUCUAACUUGCCAUCGUGCAUUAAAAUCGAGCCACUCAUCUCGGAACUGAUCGAUUACCGAUCCUCGGUAAAGAAGAAACGGGCGCUUCACUGCCGCAAUCUUCGGGAAUACUCCGUAGGCAUCGACGGCGUUACCGUUCCCUCGUUCUCUCGAUCUGAUUGCAGGUGGCGCGCGGCUCGUUGGCGUCGGAACGAAAAACAUCGAUGGCAUCAAUUGCCGCGCAUCAAUCACAAUCCAUUAAAUCGGAAUAUUUUCGAGGAUUAAUUUAUGGUGCAAUCGAGUAUUAUUGAUGCAAGCGUUUACGUGAUUUCGUUCGAAGAAUAAUUCAACGGAGGAAGACCACGAGCUUCGCAACUUCGAAUCGGGGAUGCACUUGCGGAGAGAUCUACAAACAAUCCUUUGUUCUUCGACUGCGGGGCACAGCAUACCGAGCGAGCGAGGGAGACAAAGAACAAGAGCAAGAGUCGAGGGCAACUGUGCGCGCAUGUGGACGGCGGCCUCGCGGUCCAAUCAUCACUGCGACUUUCCUGAGGCAACAAAAAUUCUUCACUCCCGUGGGAUUCCUCGAUCCUCAUUUUGUCUAAUUUCGUCUCGGAGACACUCCGAGAUUAGGAAAAAAACGAAAACGCAAUAAUGACUCGGAAAUUCAACUCCUUCGAGAGCAGGAGCCUCGCUCGAGGAGCCUCCGGUUAAGACGUACCACUCUCACCGGGCCUAAAAACAGGGAUGAAACUCUUUGUUCAACUGGUCACGUGUGAUCGCCGAAUGAGGUUAUACCCGCGGAGCGGCCUCCCCGUGUGUGUCACUUGUGACUUUGGCCAUCGAUGUUUUGCUACCGCGUAUAUGCAGCACUCGAUCAUUGUUUCGAGACUGGAGGAGAACCUAUCGCCGUCUGGGAAUUUACGUUUAUGAUCCUUCGCCAGC
This is a long non-coding RNA of Venturia canescens, 1127 nucleotides long. RefSeq lists it as uncharacterized. NCBI's taxonomy places the organism in Eukaryota, Metazoa, Arthropoda, Insecta, Hymenoptera, Ichneumonidae. The transcript has 3 exons. The record is from RefSeq and is a predicted model, not a curated record.